Non-coding RNA from Podarcis lilfordi (Lilford's wall lizard), 71 nucleotides. The record is from the annotation of a GenBank genome assembly. Lineage: Eukaryota; Metazoa; Chordata; Lepidosauria; Squamata; Lacertidae.
UCUUUAGCUCAGUCAGUAGAGCAUGAGACUCGUAAUCUCAAGAUCAUGUGUUUGAGUCCCACUGGGCAAAA